Molecule: ribosomal RNA, 350 nt
Filed under: uncultured Thiobacillus sp.
Lineage: Bacteria; Pseudomonadati; Pseudomonadota; Betaproteobacteria; Nitrosomonadales; Thiobacillaceae
Description: bacterial SSU rRNA
Rfam family: Bacterial small subunit ribosomal RNA
Source: RNAcentral
CCCUGCACAGGUGGUGCAUGGCUGUCGUCAGCUCGUGUCGUGAGAUUGUUGGGUUAAGUCCCGCAACGAGCCGCAACCCUUAUCAUUAGUUGCUACGCAAGGGCACUCUAAUGAGACUGCCGGUGACAAACCGGAGGAAGGUGGGGAUGACGUCAAGUCCUCAUGGCCCUUAUGGGUAGGGCUUCACACGUCAUACAAUGGUCGGUACAGAGGGUUGCCAAGCCGCGAGGUGGAGCCAAUCCCAGAAAGCCGAUCGUAGUCCGGAUUGUUCUCUGCAACUCGAGAGCAUGAAGUCGGAAUCGCUAGUAAUCGCGGAUCAGCAUGUCGCGGUGAAUACGUUCCCGGGUCUU